RNAcentral lists this ribosomal RNA (729 nucleotides) under uncultured Gemmatimonadota bacterium. RNAcentral describes it as "bacterial SSU rRNA". It matches the Rfam family "Bacterial small subunit ribosomal RNA", at positions 84 to 814 of the family's 1533-position model. Lineage: Bacteria; Pseudomonadati; Gemmatimonadota. The record is from RNAcentral.
GCAAUGGGCAACCGGCGAACGGGUGCGUAACACGUGAGCAACCUACCGAACUGUGGGGGAUAGCCGGCCUAACGGCCGAGUAAUACCGCAUACGCUCUCAGAGAGGCAUUUCUUUGAGAGGAAACCUACGGGACAGAUCGAGGGGCUCGCGGCCUAUCAGCUAGUUGGCGAGGUAACGGCUCACCAAGGCAACGACGGGUAGCUGGUCUGAGAGGAUGGCCAGCCACAUUGGGACUGAGAUACGGCCCAGACUCCUACGGGAGGCAGCAGUGGGGAAUCUUGCGCAAUGGCCUAACGGCUGACGCAGCGACGCCGCGUGUGGGAUGAAGCUCUUCGGAGUGUAAACCACUGUUGCCCGGGACGAAUAGCUCGAUUAAUCGAGCCUGACGGUACCGGGUGAGGAAGCACCGGCUAACUCCGUGCCAGCAGCCGCGGUAAUACGGGGGGUGCGAGCGUUGUCCGGAAUCACUGGGCGUAAAGGGCGCGUAGGUGGUUUGAUAAGGGUGUGGUGAAAGUCCGGGGCUCAACCCCGGAUCUGCCGUGCCGACUGUCAAACUCGAGGACUGUAGAGGCAGACGGAAUUCCGGGUGUAGCGGUGGAAUGCGUAGAGAUCCGGAGGAAGACCGGUGGCGAAGGCGGUCUGCUGGGCAGUUUCUGACACUGAGGCGCGACAGCGUGGGGAGCAAACAGGAUUAGAUACCCUGGUAGUCCACGCCGUAAACGAUGGGU